CCCCCCAGGAGCUGGGGAGCAGCAGGAAGCAGAUUAUCUGUGUCUCGCUGUGACACACGCGAUCAUGUAUCACGGUGAUGGAUCAACAGUCAAUACCGCCGGGUCCCGGCCCGCCCUCGUGCGCUGGAACGUCUCGCGUUCAUCCGUCUUCCUCUCCUGGGGGUGGCCCUGCUCCUGCCUGCCACCCUCCCGUGCUCCUGGCCUUGGCGGGAAGCACCUUUGGGCUGUCGUGGUUCACGUGCAAAGUGGCCACGGGGGACGCACGGGGGCAAAGCCCUGGCGGGGCCCUGCUGUGACAUCCUGGGGGCUGCAGCCGGAAGACCCAGCUGUGUUCAGGGGCACCUCGCAGCCUGGCCUUGGAUUCCGGCCCCUCCGUCUGCCGUGGUCUUGGGCAACUUGCUUCAGCUCCUCGUGGACAGUCUCCUUGGUGCAGCUGAGAACAGCCUCUUCUCCGGGGGUCAGUGGGCGCGGAUGGAGGGGGGCAGUCGGUGACCCACACUGGCCUCCCCAUUGUGGCCUCCCUGGCCAACUCAGCCGUCUCCUUCACCUGCAAAAUCACCUACCAGUACACCCCCAAAUUCCAGCCCUUCACUGUCAACUACUUCCACGUGGAUCUCCAGGGCAGGACCAGCAGGAAGCAGCCCACCGGCUGCCGACCCGCCUCGGGCACCGAGAACCAGACCUACACGCUGGACUGCAGGGUCACCCUCAGGCUGCCCAACGCCUCGGCCACAGGCUCCUACUACUGCUGCCUCCUCUGGCCGAGCUCCAACGUCACUGGCAACGGUACCUUCAUCCUGGUCAGAGAAACAGAUGCUGGUUCCAGAAAAGCGCACCACCAAGGAGCACCCGGAUCCAGGCUCGGCCAGCAGACCCGGGCAGGCUCCGGCUGAAUCCAUCUACACGGCCCUGGAGCGCCCCGAGCCCGAGGUCUACGCCUACCUCGAGAGCGAGGCCAGCAGCCCACCCUCGGCCAGGAACCGCCCCUCCCAGGAGAGACUGCGUAGGUUUGAGGACGACACUGAAUUGAACCUGGUCUAUGAAAAUCUCUAGGACAGGUUCCACCAGCCAUGGGGCUUGUCCUGGAUCAGGAGCCCAGGGUGUGGCCUUGACCUGAACGAAGAGUGAGGGCCUGCCCAUGGCCUCAGCCUCACAUCCGAGGUCCUCCUGCCGUGGCCGCCGGCCCCCAUCCUGCACCCAGACAAGUGCUUCCCUUCUUCAGGUCCUUCCUGGGCUGUCCCAUCUCCCUCCCCUGCUGCAGCUGGCGAAGUGCUGCUCUGUCCCUGGGGGCUCGCUGGGACCCAGCCUCUUCCUGAGGGCCUCCUCACCCGCCCGUGCCUGCCCACAGAGCCUGUGUGGCUCACCCGGUGCCAGCCGGCAUCUUGCUGCGCAGCCCAUGAGCCCUCCGAGAGAACACAGCGAGGGCCCCCAUCAGCGCUGUGUACAGUGCUGUUGGGGGGGGAGGCGGACACCCACCUGCCCAGAGGAGGAGGCUGGCAUGGGAGCAUGGGGCUCAAGACGGGGCUCAAGGGACAGAUACGCAGGCUGAGGAUGUGGCAAGCGGUGGUCAGACUGGGGCCUGGAGCAGAAAGGGUCCUGUGCACGCUGUUGAGAAGGGGGUUCUGGUGUGUUAGGGUGCAGCAGAGGCCCGGCUGAGCAGGAGCUGGGUGAGUGGCCAGAGCUCUCCCCUCUCCCCGCGAGACUCCCCGGGUUGUCUCCGUGGCCUGGCUCCUCCCUUCCACACCAAGACCCUAUCCCCCAACGUCCCUCUGCCUGGCAGGUCCUGAGCCCACCACCUGCAGCUCCAUCCAGCCUCCUCUGACUCCCGUCCUCGGCCCCAUUCCUGCCCCCUGUGUUGAGCCAGAUGGGACACCGUGCCCACCCUGGCUGCCUCAGCCCUCCCCUUUCCCGUGGUGGUCCAGCUGCCUGGCGUGGAGCCCCACCCCUGGACGGGCAGACGGUCUCUGUGUUGCGGUGGAGGCUGGGAGAGCAGUGGCUCCCCAGGGCCUGACCCAGAGCCUGUCUGCCCCUCCGGGUGCUCAAGUGACCCCUCGUCUCACCCUGGAAGCAGCCCUGCAAGGUAGCUGACCACUGUUCCCCAGGCAGGCGGGCUCAGGGCCACACAGGCUGUCAUCUGUCCCCUCCCCCUGGGUCCUCCCCAGGCUCAGUCUUUUCUCACCUCCCGGGCUGCUCCAGAAGUCUCUCGGGUGCCUCAAGGCCACUAUAAUAUCCCCAUGUCGGGUGGGGGACCCAAGCAGCCCUGGGCCACCAGCACUCGGUCAGCACCUCCUGCUCUGCAGGUCAGGUCCUCUGUGGGGACAAAGGCUGAGGGUGGCCCUGAUGACCGCCAGGUGUCCCCAGGCACUCUGCUAGGUGGCACGGGGCCUCCCUGGGCCUCCCGACUAGGUUCUAGGCCGCCCUGCUCAGGAUCACCAGGCUGGGCUGCGGAGGCUGAGUUUGGUGAGGUCCAAGCCUGUGGAGGGAGGCAGCAGCCUCGCUCAGAGUCAGCUUCAGGCUCGGCCUCCAGCAGCCUGCGGUGGGGGUCAGGGGAGUGAAAACUGCAGCCAGCAGGACCAGAGGAGCCUCUUGGCCAGGCCUGCCUCCCCCGCCUCCUGGGCCUCUCUGUCCUUGACCCCUGGACCUCCUGACUGGGACUUGGGCGUUUCCAGCCUUCUCCAGGGGAGUGAGGGGACCCUGGCAGGGACUUCAGGGUGUCCUGGCCCAGGCCCCCCCAUCACAGCCCCCUGCAGUGGCCCUGCCCACGGUCUCUUCUACCAAGCAGCUCAAGGAUCCCUGCCCUGCUCAAAACCACCCCUGGUUCCCAUUUCAUGUGGAAUAAAAUCCCGGCUCCUGUCUGUGGCUCGAGACACCCUUGAGUACUGAGCUCUGGACACAGACUUGGCCAGAUGGGUGCAGAGCCGGGAGGCCAGCAGGUGCCGUGGGCUCCAGUGAGUGAGCAGAGAGGGGGAAAGAGGGGGAAGAGGGUGCGGGGUGAGGGGGGGCUGAGAGGGCCUUUGACGGGAGGGAGGCUGGGGCAGAAUGUCCUGGGACUCCCAGUGGGCAGCACAGAAGACGGCCACCUGGCCCCAGGCCGCCAGGACUGAGAGCCUCAGGUGAGCUGGUGCAGGGUGGAGGGGAGCAGCUGUGACUCGGGAGAGAGAGGAGCUGCCCCUCUAGGGCAGGGCCACCUCCUGGCUCCCAGCUCCACCUCCAGCCACAGUGGGACUCAGCGAGUCCUGGCCCUCCCGAGCCUUGGUUUCCAGUGACCCUCAGGCCCCUUGGUGUGUCUGAGAGGACGGUGGAGGACUCCCUGGCUCUCGCAGGGCCCAGCGGGUGCAGUGCCCUCUGGGAUUCAUCCUUCAGAGAAGCAGGCUGCUGGGCAGAGCCCAGGGAGCGUGCUGAGUGGGGGACAGGCUUCCCUGGGCGGGAGGCCACAGCUGCGGAGAAACAGCCUGCUCAGGCGACAGGCUGGAGCUGUCCAGGGCCGGAGAGUGGGCAAGGCGAGCAGAGAGGAGGACAGGGGUUCUGGGGCCGGGGGGUCCCCGGAAGAGGAGAAGAGGAGAGAGCCGGACAGGGGGGAGGGUCCUUGGAGCUCCACCAAGGAAGGGUGGUUGUGACCGUCCUGAGCGUGGACAGAGCUUAGGAGGGAAGGAGGCCCGCGCCAAAGGGCCGCCCUGUGGCUCAGGGUCUUAGUGAUGCGGCCUCUGCCUGCCCCUGCCCUGCCCCUGAGGGACAGCCCACUCUCCCUCGUGGCCCGGC
Molecule: long non-coding RNA, 3759 nt
Filed under: Ictidomys tridecemlineatus (thirteen-lined ground squirrel)
Lineage: Eukaryota; Metazoa; Chordata; Mammalia; Rodentia; Sciuridae
Description: lncRNA (ENSSTOG00000031014.1)
Source: RNAcentral